GUUCAAGAGAAAAAGAAAAAGAAAAGAACGAGAAUUAUAUAAGGUCAAGGGAACAAAGAAAAAGAAAAACAAGUUUAUCAUAUAAAAAAUCCAGGUAAGAGUUCAAGCAUAAUUGAAUAUAAAAAGAGGGGGAUCUUCUUCACUCACUCUCACUCACUGCCAUCUAUUUGCCACUUAGAAAAUAUUUCUUUAUUUCCAUUGAUGCUGCCAAGAGUACCUCGAUCUGGCAGCAUAUGUGACUCAACACAUCUUGUGAUAAGCAAGAUCUCUCUCUCU
This 276-nucleotide unclassified non-coding RNA is filed under the name Hevea brasiliensis (rubber tree). Lineage: Eukaryota; Viridiplantae; Streptophyta; Magnoliopsida; Malpighiales; Euphorbiaceae. The record is from RNAcentral.